RNAcentral lists this microRNA precursor (60 nucleotides) under Petromyzon marinus (sea lamprey). RNAcentral describes it as "Pma-Mir-203-o1_pre stem-loop". It matches the Rfam family "mir-203 microRNA precursor family", at positions 14 to 73 of the family's 80-position model. Lineage: Eukaryota; Metazoa; Chordata; Hyperoartia; Petromyzontiformes; Petromyzontidae. The record is from RNAcentral.
AGUGGUUCUCAUCAGUUCAACAGUUCUUUGGAGAAAUUGUGAAAUGUUUAGGACCACUGG